AAUGAAGUGGAAGCACGAAACGAACCAAAGAAGAGAAUGGUUGCGGUCAGUCAGUUGUAGUGAAUUGACUGGUGAUGAGGUGUAGUGAAAGGAACAAAGAACUAAAUUUAAAGUGAAAAAGAACACAAG
Molecule: non-coding RNA, 129 nt
Filed under: Symbiodinium sp. CCMP2430
Lineage: Eukaryota; Dinophyceae; Suessiales; Symbiodiniaceae
Source: RNAcentral